Molecule: ribosomal RNA, 440 nt
Filed under: uncultured bacterium
Lineage: Bacteria
Description: partial 16S ribosomal RNA
Rfam family: Bacterial small subunit ribosomal RNA
Source: RNAcentral
CCUACGGGUGGCAGCAGUGGGGGAUAUUGCACAAUGGGGGAAACCCUGAUGCAGCGACGCCGCGUGUGGGAAGACGGUCUUCUGGAUUGUAAACCACUGUCCCCAGGGACGAAAAUGACGGUACCUGGGGAGGAAGCUCCGGCUAACUCCGUGCCAGCAGCCGCGGUAAUACGGAGGAUGCGAGCGUUAUCCGGAUUUAUUGGGUUUAACGGGUGCGCAGGCGGCCGGUUAAGUCAGCGGUAAAAGCCAGGGGCUCAACCCCGGCGAGCCGUUGAAACUGGCGGGCUGGAGUUGGAGAGAAGUACGCGGAAUGCGCGGUGUAGCGGUGAAAUGCUUAGAUAUCGCGCAGAACCCCGAUUGCGAAGGCAGCGUACCGGCUCCACACUGACGCUGAGGCACGAAAGCGUGGGUAUCGAACAGGAUUAGAUACCCGAGUAGUC